AUCGUUAACACAGGAGUGAAGAGUAGAAGCCAUUCUGGUCAGUCAUACUUGAAGCCAUUCUCUGAUUCUCUGGUCAUCUCCGUCACCACUCUGACCACGCCUCCGGUUCCUGCUGCGUUCACGUGACGAAGAACCCUCUCCACUGAAGCGAAUUCUUUCAUGAUCGUCACUUUUCAGUCUCCAUCCCCAACAUUAAGAAAUGGGGUCACAAAAAGGCUGUUCCAGCUUCAGACCUCUCAUCCGCAUCCCUGCCUGAACAAAGAAGAAAUACAACAUGAAAAUAGGGCCUGUGCCCCUGUAAGGUGCUUUCCUGAGAACUCUGUUGUUGUUGGCUGAACUGUGCUUUCCCCUACAAAUUCAUAUUUUGGAUUCCUAACUCCCAGUAUCUCAGAAUGUGACUGUAUUUGGAGAUAGGGUCUUAAAAAGGUAAUUAAGUUAAAAUGAGGUCAUUUUAUUUAUUUUUAUUUGAGUCAUGUCCUUUUAUGAAGAGGAGACUAAGAUAGACACACACAGAGGAAAGACCAUGUGAUAGAAGGAGAAGGUGGCAAUCUACAAGCCAAUGAAAGAGGCUUUGGAAGAGACUAACUCAGCAGACAUUUUGGUCUCAGACUUCUAGCCACCAUAAUUGUGAAAAAAUAAAUUUCUAUUGUUUAAGCCACCAACUCUGUAAUAUUUUGUUAUGGCACCCUAGGAUCACAUACUCAGUAAUUUUUUUUUCUUACAUCACAUUAAUUAGAAGUGUCAUUUGGUUAUCCUUAGAUGCAAGGAAGGCUUGCAUCUAAGAAAUAUGUUUUUUUUUUAAUUGAGUACAUUGCUGCCCCUAUCAAAACCAAGAUUCUGGUACUAAGGGCAGAGAGCCUAGUAAAUAAUGGAUAUUCUCCCUUCUGAGUUCUAAGCUCUUUACUUGUAUAAUCUUAUUUAAUCCUUAUAAUAAGUUUGAAAUAUUUUACAAAUAUAUAAAUUAAGAAGUCAAAUAAAAAGUUACCUAGUUAGUACAUAAAGCAACCUGACUGGACCAUAAGCUAUCUGACUCUAGAACCCACAAUCUAAGUUAUCUCAAUAUUUUGCUCCCUAUUAUAAGUAAUACCAUAUUUAAGCUCCUAACACAUAUACUUUUUUGCAUUUGAGAGAUGAUAUCUUUAGAAACUAGAUUUUUAGGAUUCCUAGGAUCACAACUACUGGAAUUCAUGCUGUUAUUAAUAGUUUAAAUGAGAAUGUGCUAGUUAAAUUACCUUCUAAAAAGGCAUUAUCAAAUGACACUCCCACCAACAAUUUAUUUGUGUCCAUUUUGUCCCCAGUGCUGGGAAUUAACAAUCUCAUGAGUAUUUUGCUAAUCUAAUGGGUCAAAAAAAGAUAUAACAUUAUUUUUUAUUAAAGAUUUUAUUUAUUUAUUUGAGAGAGAAAGAGUGUGAGAGAGAGAGUGAGAGAGCACAACCGGAAGGGGGCAGAGGGAGAGGGAGAA
Molecule: long non-coding RNA, 1462 nt
Organism: Ailuropoda melanoleuca (giant panda)
Lineage: Eukaryota; Metazoa; Chordata; Mammalia; Carnivora; Ursidae
Exons: 3
Source: RefSeq, a predicted model, not a curated record